GUAAACCAAAAUGGUGAAAACCUGGAGCUUUAUUUUCCACAUUAUAAAAACUACACUGUGCCACAAGAAAACUGAGAUGCAGGUUCUCCAGUCUGGUUAGCCUAACAGUUGAAGAGGACCCCCCCCAAAAAAAACUGUGUUCCAUCCAUUCAUUUUCUGAGCCACUUAUCCUCAUGAGGGGCGCACGAAUGCUGGAGCCAAUCUCAGCUGUUACCAGACGGGAGGCAAGGUUUGCAAGUAGUGCUGUGGACCAUCAACAUGGUCUUUUGGAAACUUGGAACUUGCUGCAAUGCUUUCUUGGACAGCAGUGGCUUCCUCUGGCGUCUCCUAUAUAUUAUAUAAUAUAUAUUGAAACUAAAAAAAAAGGUUUUACUUCUUGUAGAUUUGUCAACAGUGGUGUUCGCAAGUGCCAGAGAUUCGUCGUUUAGCCGACACUCCAGCGGUGUCUGAGAAUGGACAGAUGGUCAUCAAGAUUUUCAUGCAACUUAUCAAUUCUGAAUUGUAGAGAAUUUGAGAGCUCUUCUGUGCUAGGCGUGGUUGUCAUUGGGUGAUGCUUCUUGAGGAUUGAACUCUAAAUUGUGUUUUUUAAUCAGGCAGGGCAAUUUUAAUCAACAAUUCCAGUCUUACCAAAUUGAUUACGAUCUGGGAUGACUGACUCCGGACUUUGGUUAGCUCUUGGACAACUCCAUUGUUUACACAUUGUGUCCAAUAGAAAGCAAGAUCAAAACACAAUUGUUUGUGUGGUUGUAACCUUUGCAGACUUGUUUUUUCUCAAUGACAUAUAGAUUUUAUGACCAAUUUAUGAAUGAAUCCAGGUAAUACCUAAGGGCAAUGGUACACACUAAGUUGACACUUUGAUCUGCCAAUAAAAGCUGUUACAAUCCUGAGAUGGAUGGAGCUCAUCCGGACUCAUUAAGAUCUUCGAUGCAGCACGUUUCAUGAACACAUUUACAACAAUCAGUGUCAAAAGAUGAAAUACUGAAAACCAAUCAUUUCCUCACGAGUCAAGCCUCACAAAUAUUUGUAUUGCCCCGGAAUGUGCAGCAAACUGGGACUGAUGGGUAACCAUUACACUAUUGGAGCAUGCUAAAGAUGGAUUGUGAUCCAGGCCCACAGACACACGUCAGUAAUGAAAGAUGCAUACAGAUGAAAGGGCCAGAAAGUAUAGCAAAAUAGACACACAUAAAUACAAAUAAUAUCUUGAGCAAAUAGCAGGAGAAAAGUGUCAUGCUGGAGAUCUUGUAAAUGUCAUCACAGAGUAAAACACUCAACUCGGUCUCGGGGUUACGA
Molecule: long non-coding RNA, 1290 nt
Organism: Syngnathoides biaculeatus (alligator pipefish)
Lineage: Eukaryota; Metazoa; Chordata; Actinopteri; Syngnathiformes; Syngnathidae
Exons: 3
Source: RefSeq, a predicted model, not a curated record